RNAcentral lists this ribosomal RNA (147 nucleotides) under uncultured eukaryote. Its description in RNAcentral is "partial 18S ribosomal RNA". It matches the Rfam family "Eukaryotic small subunit ribosomal RNA", at positions 1299 to 1458 of the family's 1831-position model. The record is from RNAcentral.
UGGUGGAGUGAUUUGUCUGGUUAAUUCCGUUAACGAACGAGACCUCGACCUGCUAACUAGUUUAACAAAGGAUAAUUUAUUCUUUGCAUAUUAGACUUCUUAGAGGGACUAUCGGUGUGUAGCCGACGGAAGUUCGAGGCAAUAACA